GCUUCGUUAGCGCAGUAGGUAGCGCGUCAGUAUCAUAAUCUGAAGGUCGUGAGUUAGAUCCUCACACGGGGCA
Molecule: non-coding RNA, 73 nt
Organism: Salmo salar (Atlantic salmon)
Lineage: Eukaryota; Metazoa; Chordata; Actinopteri; Salmoniformes; Salmonidae
Source: Rfam